UAAAAAAAAAAAAAUUUGUUUAAUGGUUGUUCUGUUUGUAUUGAAGCGUUAGAUGUAACAAAUCGUUUCUUCUUUCGUACAGGAGAUAAUAAUGGUGGCAUAGAACACAGACCUCAUCCAGGUUAUGGUCAUGGUCAUGAUGUUGCUCCAGUCAUGGUCACGGCUGAUAAAAGUAUCUUAUCAGUUUUUGUUUUAUGCUGCCUUAGUAUCUCAGUUAAUAUUUUAAAAAUAAAAAGUAAGUCUAUAAAUAUAAAGGAUAUACUCCUUUUAGUAUUAGAAAAUUAUUUAUGGAUUGGGCUUGAAUUUAUGAACCUUUAUAAAUAUUUUAUAAAUGAUUUUAAACAUUUUUAAAUGAUUUAUAAUGUCAGUUUUAGUUUUGCAGAAAUUUAAAGUAUUUAUGAAAAUAGUUAUAUCUUAAAGAUAAAUUUAAAUAAUGAUAUCAAAUUUGGGGUAAAAGCUAAAAUUAAAAUUCUCUCAGAACUCAUAACAUACAUUUGUUUCUCCAAAAAUUCUAAAAAAAGAUGUUCAUGUCUAAUUGCAGCUUCUAAUGUUUCUUCCUUCCAUAUAUUUAAAUUUAUUUUUUCAAAAGAAAUUUUGGUUCAUACACUAUUAUGCGUUUUAUUUAAUUAGAAAACAGUUUAUCCAUAAUUGUGUUUCAAUUUACAGAAGUCCAAAGCCACAUAAGAUUUAUUUACUAUAAUGUUAUCAAAAUUAUAUUAGAACAAAUUUACAAAAACAACAUCUAUACAUUCUAAGAAGAGUUUUUUUAUGUUUACCCUAGAGGGCGUGGAUUCACCAGCUAAUUAUCUGUCAUAUCAUAUUUAUUUAUUUUUAGAAAAAGCAAAAUAACAAAAAUUUGCUAAGUUAUAUUCUGUUUUUAAAAUUAAAAAAAAGUACAAAUAAAUUAAAAAAAAUAGUACUAGCUGCAAAAAAUGAGUUUUUUUAAAACAUUAUUAACGCUGUCAGUAAAAUUACACUAAACCCUAAAGUCUAACUAUUAAACCCUAAACCCUUGAGUAAAUCCUAAACUCUAAAUCGUUAAAACUAAGCAAUAAAUCAUAAACACUAAAUCCUAAACGCUGUCAGCAAAACUCUAAAUCUUAGCCCUAAACCCUAGGGUUUAGGGUUUACCCAAGGGUUUAGAGUUUACCCAAAGAUUUAGGGUUUACCCAAGCAUUUAGGGUUUACCCAAGGGUUUAGGAUUUACCCAAAAAUUUAAGGUUUAGUUUUUAGGGUUUAAUGUUUAAGAUUUAGGGUUUAUUGUUUUGAUGACGGUGUUAACAAUGUUUAAAAAAAUUUGUACUAUUUUUUAUUUAUUUUUACUUUAAAAAACAUAACAUAAUUUGGCAAAUUCUUAUUAUUUUGUUUUCUUUUUUUCAACUCCUGAAUAUGAGCUCGCAGACUUUUAUUGGUCGGUGAAUAAAUAAUUUUUUUAAGAAAUAUCAAAGUACGGAUCAAUAAUUUUUCUAUAUUUAAAUUAUUGGUCACUAAUAAUAGUAUUAUUACAUCACUUCCAAUCAAUAUUAAUUUUAUUUUAUAAUUUAAUAUUUUUACUAUUUAAUAAUGCCUAGACAAAUUUUAAACGGUUUCAAAUCUAAAACAGUUAUCAAUCAUCAAUUUUAUAAAAUUUACGUAAAACAAUAAUAAUAAAUACAGGUGCAUUAUUGAACAAAUUUGUUUGUUCUGAUGUGUUUACUUAUAUGAAAUUUUGAUCCCUAAAAUGUUUCAUACAGAAGUAAAGUUUGCCAAACAUAAUAAAAGAAAAGUAAGUCAAAUUAUCUUCCUAAUUUUACUGUGAUAGUCAGGUUACUCUUUUUCAUUUCAUAUAAUAGAAACUUAAUUGAGAUUAAUAUAAAUAAAAUUUUAAAAUGAUAAAUAAAAUUUUAAAACUAAAUUUCCUCAUUUAUACAAAAUAUUUACCAUGAAAGUAAAAAUAAUAAGUUGCAAUUGAUUAAGUAAACACAAUUAAUCUAAAAUUAAGAUGAUAAUUUACAUGUGAAAAAAUAUGAAAAAAAAUUUAAAAGUAUAUUAUCCGCGCAUAGCGCAGAAAAACGAUCUAGUAAGUAUAAAUAAUAAGAAAACUAGUUAAAUGUAAUGGUUCAAUCUAUACUAUUUAUAAAUAGAUAAAAAAAUAUGACUAUACAUUAACUGAUUAGAUGUAAAUGAAAAUGAAAAUAUGAAUAUGAAUAUUUUGGAAAGAAAAAUUACCUGGAAUUGACCAUUUUUCUAUAAGUUUUAAGAUAUGCUUUCACUUUUAUGAUGUCAAAUUGUAGUAACUCUCCUACAAAAUAUUAAAAUAUCUUUAAAACUCUAAUGGUAGAGUAAAUGGUAAUUAUAAUUGUCUUACAAAUUAAUAUACAUAUUAAUAUAGUGUGAGUUGUUUUUUUAACAACUAAAACUUAGGCUAUGAAUGGUGACCAAAGAAUGAAGAGGAAUAAUGCAUUUUUUAAUGUUCCUAAAACUUUUUACCAUUCAUAAGAAAUAGUUUUUACUUUCUAUUCCUCUUCAUUCAUUUUAUUGUAGAGAAAUAUAGAACAUAUUUGUUCCUCCCUAAAUAUAGAACAUAGAACAUAUAUUCACAUUUUAUCAAAAAAAAGAAAAAAGAAAUGUAGAACAUAUUUGUUCCUCCCUAAAUAUGAUAAGGAAUAAUAAUUUCUUCUCAUUCCUAUAAUUUUAUUCCACUCAAUUAUUUUCCUAUCCGUUUCUGAUGUUCCUAUGAUGAUUACCAGGAAAAAAAAUACUUAGAUUUUAAACAAAUUACUUAAAUACAUAUACAACUAUGAGAUACAAAAAAUAAAUAAUUAAAACGAUAAGAAAGCUUCAUGCGAACUUGAAAUAUUUGUUGCAUUUUGAGUAUCAGAUCUCUUUGUUGUAUUAUUAUGGUCUUAUUCCAAUUUAGAUCUACAAAUGUUCUUCAGUUCAGAACCCAAUGUAUUGAUUCAACCGUAAGAAAUAAAAAUUAGAAUAACCAAUUUCUAACGAUUAUAAGGAUAUUAACAUACCAUAAAGAGACUACAUAUUGUUGUUUCUUGCAUGAUGCAUUACAUGAUUUCAAACAAAUAUUUUGAUACCAAGUAUAUUGUUUCAAAAUAUAAGUUGUGAAAAAAAUUGGUUGGCCGACAUCAUACUUCUUCCUCUUGUCUCUAGAUCUUCUUCUUCAUGUUGAAUCCAUAGUAGUUUCAGUUGGUGGCUGGAGGUUCCAUAACAAAUCCUUACGGAUUUAUUUCAAACAUCCCAUAUCCCAUAUACCAUCAUCAAGUCUCUCUCUCUCUCAAUAUAAUAAUAAAAUAAUUGUUAUCAAUGGAAGACUUGAUAAUAGAUUAAGCGAACCGGUUCAAACAUGAACCACCACAAGCCGCGUGAAGAAAACUCCAAUGGAAAUAAACUGACACAUUCUUUUAUGGACAAACCAUGAGACGUUGCCGGACAAACAUCCUCUCGAAGAGAGAGAUAGAAAGGAAAACAUUGACAAUGAAGCAUCAACAAAAACAAAUGAUGAUGAUCAUGAAUCAAUGAUUUGCACUUAGAAAUUAAAAACUAAUAAAUUUAAAAGAAGAGUACGGCCGACGUAGGAGUCGACGCCGGCCAGUGACAGUUGCGUGAAAGAGGGUGGUUGUUGACAAAGAUAUCGCUUGGUGAAUCACUCGAGAGAGAAGACGGUUGUGUAUAUAGUGUGCGUUAUGUGUUUUAAAUUUAGGGUCAUUUAUCUGAAUAUAAAAAUAUCAGUAGGUAAUUCCGAAUGCAUGCACAAUUUGAAAGUAAUUUGACAUAUGGUUUAUUUACUAGGUAUGGUUUAACGAUAUACCUCUCAACACCAAAAAUAAAGUUAUUUUAUAAACUGUAGUCGGGUAUAAUGAAUAUUUGAAAAUAUAUUUUGUUGGUAAAGUGUCAGGAGUAGAAUGACGUAUAAAUUUAUUUAUGUAUGUUAAUAUACUUAUUAAUUGAUAAUAAUUAUAGAACCCAGCUGUCAGAGUUGUGUCAGGUGAAAAUUCUAAUAAAAUAUUUUCAGUCAUGUUGCUCAUUACACUAAACAUGUGAAAAAUAAAUAGGUUAUGAAAACGGUGAACAAUUAAUAAUAACCAGAAAAUCAUAAUUGUAUCUGGAGUAUUUGUUAAAGUUGCAAUUUUUAAUUUAGAAAAUUGAGAUUAGGUGAUGUAAUCAUAUAUGCAACAUGAAUCUUUUGUAGUUUGUGUGGAAAUAUUGAAAUUAAGACAUUGGGGUUUUACAAAGUUUUAACAUCAUAGCAUAACAGCUUAAACUGAAAAAGGAAACACACAUUCAUCAUUCACGGGUUAACACGACCUAAGAUUUUAUAAUGAAAACGAUUACAGAAGUUACAACAAUAAAACCACACCAAGAAAUGAUCAUAAACUGGUACAUGAUUUGGUUAUGAAGUAAUAUUUCCAGAUAUACGAUAAAAAUCUGGCUAAAUAUAUAUAAUAUGGGUUUGUAAUAAUCCUUUUAAUGUAUGUUUUUAAUCGAGUAACAUGGUAUAUUUUUUGGUUUGUAGUAUUCAUGAUAUAAAUAUUGAAUAUCCGGAUAUUUGAUGCUGUAUCUGGUUGUCUAAAUCAUAACUGGUUAUAUCUUGUUGACUAAAUUAUUUGUACUGAAUUGCAUGUGAAAAAAAGAAUUCAACUUUGUCCAGAUAAAUAAAAGGCAAUCCAGUGAAAUUAAAAACUAUGUAGCAAUAGUUUGUUAUAGUCCUAAUUUUUAUAUAUUAGUUGAUUAAUAUUACCAAAUAUAUGGUAAGGAAUCUGGUUAAACAUAAAUAAAACAGUUUGUAGUCAUCUUGUAAAUCAAUAUAUUUAUUCAUGUGAAAUAGUACAUAUUUAGUUUGUAAUAUUCAAGAUAUAUCCUGGUAUUUGUUCAUUUAUCCAGAUGUUUCCGCCGUGAAGACGGCGACACUAUGUUGUCUAUAUCAUUAACCACCAAAGACGAUGAAUCACAAUCGCUAUGGCGAUUAUCUGGAGCCGUCAGAGGAGUUCACAUAUAUAUAUAUAUAUAUAUAUAUAUAUAUAUAUAUAUGUAUUCGCCACUUUUACCACAGAAGAAGAAGACACAAGUCAACUAAAUAAAAGCAAUUUCACUAAGACAAUCAAUAUCACUGUGUAAGCUUUUGUCAUGGUAUAAAGUAGAUAAAGUUACUUGUUUUUGAACGGAGGAAGAAGGACAAAACUCAUCAAAAGAGGCAAUCUGAUGUUUGGGGGAUUAUAAAAGGGUGCCAGACAAAAUCACAACACAAGUAAAACAAUUUUUCUGCUGAGAAUCCAUCCUCAGAAUCUCGACAUCUACAUUAUACCAAUUGUGCCGCUUUUGAUAUUGAGAAAUAAACAGAGAAGGUAAGCUAGGGUUCAGAAAAAUGGUGAAAGACAGAAGUUUUACAAGUUUACUAGUACAAAAACUUUAUAAGUUUUGCGGAUGGAGAAAUUAAAAUUUUGUACUAUAUGCAUAAACCCAUAGUAAUGGAUACAAUUUUUACUUAUAAUCAAAUUAAAUUUAAAAUUAAAUUAUGUAAUCAAAUAAUAAAUUUUAAAAUCAACGGAAAACUAUUUUAACUCUAAUUUUAAAUUUUUAAAACGUUAUUUCUGCAUAUGAUAUGAUGCAUGAAAACAUAUAGUUAUGCAUAUAUGACAUAAAGUAAAAUACUGUAACUUUUGUGUCUUGUGUUGACAUAAUUGUUCAUGUUUUUUUUCUGUACUAUUAACUUUUGUUUUUCUUCUCCAACAUACGACAAAGAUGUUAUUUACCCAGGAUUGUUUUUCUCUAAUUUAAAUCAAUUUGAUGGAAAAUCAGAUUAUCUAUAGAAACCCACUGCUCUUAACCAUCAUGUGGUCCUAUGCCGACCUCAUGUUCAUCUUAUCUUUUGCCACCAUGACAACAACUUUGUCGAUGCUGGAUGCGCCAUAUGUGGCAGAGAAAUCAAGAUCUCAAAGAAAACAAUCCCGAAAUAGUCUCUAAAUUUUGGAAAUUGGUUCCUCCCUAUCACAUCUAAGAAAAUGAUUUAUUAAUAUAUAGAAAAGAUAACUCAAUUGUAUCGGUUAAUGAUCAUGUUAUAUGUUUGCAUUUAUAUCUCUACAAAACAUAAAUAUUUAUGAGGGGUGUCAUACAUUUAUCCAAAAUUAAAUGUACCUUUCUUUCAAUUUAAACACCACCAUUCCUCCACUGACAUCCGACUCAUAUUGUUUUUGCAACCGUCACAACAAUUAUGUAAUUCUGAUACAAUAAUUGCUAAUUGUUAAGAAGAUAUAAGUUAAAUAGUUAUUGAAUAAUUUAUCUGGUACAAUAAUUGUUAAUUUCCAACGCCUAUAAAAUAAUGGACGUUUUAAUGACUAUAAAAAUGAUUGACAAUAUAUUACCAACAAAUGUAUCAAGUUAACAUACUAUAUAUAGUUAGCAAGCUAUAGUUAUGUGUAUAGUGCUAUAAAAUCAAUAACAUACAUAUUAGUGAAUACUCAUUCUUGGGUAUCAAACCAUAUAUCAUCUAACAAAACAUGUAUCAUACAACAAAAUAUGUACUAACAAAUUAACCAUGUAUCAAACAAUGUAUCAUCUACAACGUAUCAACACAUUUAAUAGCUUAUUAUACCAUGUGUCAAAUAAUGAAAACUAUUUCGUUAUUUCUUACCAGUCAUUUAUCAAUUAGUGGCAUCAUGUUUGUAACAUCUAAUAAACUUGUAUCCAUACAAGGAUAUAAUAUUAAAGAUAUGGUACCAAAACAUGUAUCAAGUAACAUAUAAUGUAUCAGCUAACAAAAUAUAUAUCAACUAACACUAACUAUUUUGUAAUAUCUUACUAGCGAUUUAUGAAUUUGCGGCAACAUGUUUGUAAUAUCUAACAAAACAAAUAUCCAAAAUAAUAACAUAAAAUUAAGGAUCCGGCAAAACAAAAAUAAAUAUCGGGUAACUGAUAAAAUGUCGGCUAACAUAAAAUGUUAUCCAAAUCAAAUACAACAUCACGAACUGAUUGCCUCUUGUUUGGUUUAUGCUUGGACAAGCUCGUUGAUUCUUUGAUUUCUUUCAAGUAUUCGUAACAUAUUUUGUAGCAAGUAAGAUCCCAUGUAUUUGGUAACACGAAUGUAUUAUAACAACUAGCCAAGAAACAACUUGUUUUAUAUCAGCUAACCAAAUAUGUAUCUCAAACGGUGAAUCCUCGACCAUAAACACCACAAUGGAAAUGUGUUGUUGGCCCAAACCCCUGAGUCAUGGUUUACGAACUCGCUGGAGACUGUGAGUCAUUCUAACGAGCCAGAUUAAUACCUACACUCAGACUCGUUAGAGAUCGUGGUAUGAGGAGUGAUGAGCUUGAUCUUAAAAUCAAAUCGGAUAGUGACUGAAAACGAAGAAGGCAUAUGAGGAGUUCGACGUUGCAGUUGCGAUGGUAUCAAAAAAUUUGUAAGUAGAAAAUUCAUGGUGUAAUCGUUAGUAAACAAAGUUAUGAGAGAAAAUAUAAUUCAGUGAUGAAGAAAUACAAUUACAGAAGAAAGAGAGGAGAGAACCAAGAGCUCUUGGCCUAGUGGUAAUGGAACUCCAUCUGGAGUGCCCGUCCUGGGUUCGAGUCGCCUUGGCCACCUUUCCGCCUAUUAAACGUGCAUGCCCGGAUGGAAGGCCUCAUGGAGAUUAGUCUGGGCUUACUGACUGGGAUCUCCCACGGUUAUCAAAUAAAAAAGAAAGAGAGGAGAGGAGAGAGAGAGAGAAGAGAGAGAGCUGUGGGAGUAGGAUAAUAAGAUAUUAGUGAGAUUUUGAAAAAAUCAUUAGUUCUUGAGGUAUUUAUUCUAUGUACAUGACUCCUAAUUUAUUUAGAAUAUUUCAUUCUUAUUGGUUCAACCCCCAUUCUCACAGUAGCUAUAGAUAGUGUACUAAAAAUUGAAAAAUUAUUUUUUUUCAUUUAUAAAAAACUAGUAAAUAAUAAAAUUGGUAGCUAAUGCGCCGCCAAUCAAUUUUAGCUUCAAAUUGAAUGUUUCAACGUUACUUAUAUAUAUGGCUGUGGUUAAUGAUAUUUUAAAUGGUGAUAAAUUAUUAUUAAAAAAUAAAACAAAAUAUUUUUUAAUAUAAACAUUUUAAGAUUGAAAGAAUAUAAAAUUACUCAGUCGAUUUAAUAUCAUCUUUUUUCGGAUCAUCAUACAAAAAGUUUUCAAAAACUUAUAUAUAUGUUCACUAACAAGAUUUCUAAAACACAAACUAACAAAGCGUUUAGUUUUAAAGAAAAAUCACAAUGUCAACAGCUAAAUUUGCUUUCUUUUGUAUCGUCUUGGUUUUUUUUGCUACUUUUCAUGAAUGUGUCAACAAAGUUGAUGCAGCUGCACUAAAAUGCUCUAGAUUACCAAAUUCUAAUUGGUGCUGCAACACAACACCGAGAAGGUGCCGAGGCAGCAAAUUGGAGUGUGACAAGAUUUGUAAACCCAAACGCCUCUGAAUUUUCUAGAAGAGAAUUUAUAUAAUUAUAUAUUCUAAAUGUUCUUUUACCUCUAUUAUUAUUAUUACUGAAAAUAAUAAAUAGGAAGACCUGUUCUAGAGGAGCAUCUAGUGUUGGGUUUUCUUCGAAGAGCUGAAAUUGUUUUUAUUUUUAAUUCUGGCUUUCUGCAAUUGUAUUUAAUAAGUUUAUAAUUUCAGAUAUAAUAAUUUGAAUCGAUUAAGUUAUUCUUUGGCA
Molecule: long non-coding RNA, 8646 nt
Organism: Brassica rapa (field mustard)
Lineage: Eukaryota; Viridiplantae; Streptophyta; Magnoliopsida; Brassicales; Brassicaceae
Source: RefSeq, a predicted model, not a curated record